Long non-coding RNA from Felis catus (domestic cat), 2040 nucleotides. RefSeq lists it as uncharacterized. The record is from RefSeq and is a predicted model, not a curated record. The transcript is spliced from 2 exons. Lineage: Eukaryota; Metazoa; Chordata; Mammalia; Carnivora; Felidae.
CCCUGAAGAACAAAUAUGGAGAAUCUUAAUUCCAACACUUCAGAGAACUAACACUAUUCACCUGCCACUGAGUCCUCCCCCUCUGCCUAGAUAGCCUCACAGAUGCUCCGUAAGGGUCUCAACAGCAGGAGAGUGGACAAUGCCCAUGAGCAAGGAAGAGCUGAGCACAAAAAUCACCACUGGCUGCAUGACCAACAAAGGUUAAGGCUAUGAAAUCGUUCCUGCAUGGCCACCACUCACAGGCUAAAACCUGCCACCCACCAACCCAUCAUGCGGCAGCACCCAGACUCCGUUCUCUCCUGGACCUACCUGAAACCAAAUGGCAUUGACAACUUUGCUAAGCACGAACAGAGGAAGUACCCAAAGAGCACUGAAAAUGGACGUAAGGAAGAAUUCCAGCCACGACCAAACAUCUCCAUGUAGUGAUGGAUCACCUAAGAAAGGGGAAAAGAGAGUUGUCACUGUAACUGGAGAAAUGAAAAACAAAAAAGACCGAAUAUGGAACCCCCUAGUUGGUGACUAUUCUCCCUCACCACACACACACACACCCCCUGUGUUUCUUUCCAGCACACGACCAGAUAGUUCUCCUCUUCGUAGACACAUCAAAUUCUAGCCACAGCUCUCACUGGAGUAGUCCUAGAUAUGUGCUGCUUACCUUGAGACAGACCCGCUUACCAGGUGCUGACUGACACAUCACAGACCUUUGACAGUACACAGUAUAAAGGAAACUACCUGGGUUUAAAUCCCAGCUCGGCCCCUUACUAAUAGUUUAACCUCGGGUAACUAACUUCCAUUUUCUCAUCCACGAAAAUGAUGUUGGUAACAGUACCCACUCAAAGGGUUGUUGACAGGCUUGAGCUAAAAACAGCUAAAGCUCCUGGAACAGCGAAGUGUUCGGUAAACUGAGGGAGACAGGGACAAUCCCCUGUACCUCCGCCCCAGGCAUGCAGCACACAGCAAUGCAUAUACUUACCAAUAAUUUGGGCUGUUACUGACUGGAGUACAGGAAUAAACACUCGAUAAAACAAGAGGAGACUUAACUAAAGGAAAGAAUAAAAUAAACAUUAAAAGCUCUUCUUUAAAAAGAGUUCCAAGUUUCAGUGUCAUUUUCCAGAUGGAGGUGCCUUUUCAAGGAGCCCUGAAGAGGCACCAAAACUGGACCCGUUUCUACAGCCUAGUCCUUCUCUAAGGUACAAACCUGACAUUGCUUGUAAAAACAGAGGGUCUUAGGGACACAGACAAACAUUUUAAAUAAUAUUCAGACCAAAAUACAGGCACAUACUAAAUACAUAGUAAUAUUUUAUUAAGCAAACAUCUGAAAACAUCUGUGAAAUGUUUGGAUUAAGACAAGCUGGAUUACAUGGAAUUCCAAGUCCAAAAAAAAAAAAAAAUCUCACUACCCGUUCUUCAAAGUACUCAAAUUUCGCUUAAGCCCAUGUUGGCUCUCAGUUAACUCUAGGCAACAUUUUCUGGUGUGGGUUUUCAAUAGUCAUCAAUUCUAGUAGAAUGAUAAGACCAGGUGCAAGGAUAACCUUGCUCUUUUCCUUCUGCCUUUCCCUUCUGAUAGCUGCUCUUCUCCAAAAUGCCCCAUGUCAAGAGAAACUGUUACCGCUAACAUUAAAACUUGUGAAUGAGUCGUUUUUUAAAAAUAAAGUGUAUAUUCAGGGCUAUCCCUGACAUUUACAUACAAGUGUUCUUUGAGUGAAAAUAAAAUCAUUGCAGAUGCACAGAUUCCCAGUUAUGGUUUAAGCAUGUAUCAGUAGGUGAAAGCUACUUGUCUCAGUUUCAAGAAAAGAAUUGAAAGCUAUUGAGAGAGCAACAAUCUGAAGAUGCUUGUAAGGCACCUGGCAUUUGAGGAAAAAGAACUCACCCAGAAUACUCCACCAUUCCAAGCGCAGCACUGGAAAAUUCUACUAACGAUACGCGGCUCACUGGAAAAGACCACAUGCAUUCAGCUAAUAUGGUACACAGGCCAUUUCCAAAUCAUCAUUCACUCACUCACUCACUCACCAUUACCUUUUGUUGGUUACCAUUAUUUUU